Molecule: ribosomal RNA, 250 nt
Filed under: uncultured bacterium
Lineage: Bacteria
Description: partial 16S ribosomal RNA
Rfam family: Bacterial small subunit ribosomal RNA
Source: RNAcentral
ACGAACCGGACAAACGUUAUUCGGAAUCACUGGGCUUAAAGGGUGCGUAGGCGGCCUGACAAGUUGGGUGUGAAAUCCCUCGGCUCAACCGAGGAAUAGCGCUCAAAACUGUUGGGCUCGAGGGAGUUAGAGGUAAGCGGAACUUAGGGUGGAGCGGUGAAAUGCGUUGAUAUCCUAAGGAACACCAGUGGCGAAAGCGGCUUACUGGAGCUCUUCUGACGCUGAGGCACGAAAGCCAGGGGAGCGAACG